GGUCUCGUGGCGAAAUGGAAUCGCGUCUGACUACGAUCACGUACGUACGUUGUGUGUAUCAAGGGAGUAAAUCAGGAGAUUGCAGGUUCGAGCCCUGCCGGGAUCA
Xylariomycetidae sp. FL2044 is the source of this 106-nucleotide non-coding RNA. The record is from the annotation of a GenBank genome assembly. NCBI's taxonomy places the organism in Eukaryota, Fungi, Ascomycota, Sordariomycetes.